RNAcentral lists this ribosomal RNA (759 nucleotides) under uncultured bacterium. RNAcentral describes it as "bacterial SSU rRNA". It matches the Rfam family "Bacterial small subunit ribosomal RNA", at positions 66 to 802 of the family's 1533-position model. The record is from RNAcentral.
ACGCGAAAGGUUCCUUCGGGAACCGAGUAGAGUGGCGCACGGGUGAGUAACACGUAGGUAAUUUGCCUUUGGGUGGGGAAUAACUCAGGGAAACUUGAGCUAAUACCGCAUAAUGCAGCGGCUCGACAUCGAGACAGUUGUUAAAGCGGGGGAUUCGCAAGAACCUCGCGCCUGAAGAGAAGCCUGCGGCAGAUUAGCUAGUUGGCAGGGUAAUGGCCUACCAAGGCGACGAUCUGUAACCGGCCUGAGAGGGCGGUCGGUCACACUGACACUGACAUACGGGUCAGACUCCUACGGGAGGCAGCAGUCGGGAAUUUUGGGCAAUGGGCGAAAGCCUGACCCAGCAACGCCGCGUGAAGGAUGAAAUUUUUCGGAAUGUAAACUUCGCAAGAACAGGAAGAAUAAGUGGGGGACAAUACCCCCCAUGAUGACGGUACUGUUUGUAAGCUCCGGCUAACUCCGUGCCAGCAGCCGCGGUAAUACGGGGGGAGCAAGCGUUGUUCGGAUUUACUGGGCGUAAAGGGCGCGUAGGCGGCGUGACAAGUCACUUGUGAAAUCUCCGGGCUUAACUCGGAACGGUCAAGUGAUACUGUCGUGCUAGAGUACAGAAGGGGCAACUGGAAUUCUCGGUGUAGCGGUGAAAUGCGUAGAUAUCGAGAGGAACACCUGCGGCGAAGGCGGGUUGCUGGGCUGAUACUGACGCUGAAGCGCGAAAGCCAGGGGAGCGAACGGGAUUAGAUACCCCGGUAGUCCUGGCCU